This 716-nucleotide long non-coding RNA is filed under the name Homo sapiens (human). Its description in RNAcentral is "non-protein coding GLIDR:8". The record is from RNAcentral. Lineage: Eukaryota; Metazoa; Chordata; Mammalia; Primates; Hominidae.
GAUGACCCAUAGUACCCCAUUCCUUGCUGCAAUGUAAUUAUAUUUAAUUACAAGUGUGCCCCUGGUAGUCUUUAACUGAAGGGCACUGACUGGGUCACUGGUGAAGUUCCCCGCAGGAACUGAGUCAGACCCCAUCUCAGGGCCCUGCACAAGAUAGGUGCCUGCUCUAAGGCGUGGACCCUCGCCACAGCCCUGGCCCGUCUUGACGGGCGAGGGUUACUGUACUUGUCCCAACCGUACAGAUGAGAAAGCUGAGACUCAGGGCCAGCAACCCGGGUCCCAGCGGAGCGCCCGGCACACGCCGACACUUCAGCACCAGUGGCGGUGGCCACCACUGUGGGCGGAGAUGGCUGCGACGCGUGCGCAGAAUCUGGACCCGAAUCCACCCAUUGCCCGUUUUCCGCUGCCGCUGGAGAGAAUCUCUGAGGUCCCCAGGAGAGCCUGCCUGCACGGAAGAGACGCCUCCUCGGGAAAUUUGUGCACAGAGAUAACACAGGGGAUAUGCCAUAUGAAGAUGAAGGCAGAAUUCUACAAGCCCAGGGAUGCCAAAGAUUGCCAGCAAACCACCAGAAGCUAGGAGAGAAGUGUGGAUUAGAUUCUUCCUCACAGCCCUCAGAAGGAUCCAGCCCUGCCAAGAACUUGAUCUCAGACUUCUAGUCUCCAGAACUGUGAGACAGUGCAUUUUGUUUUGUAAGUCAGCCAUAUGGUUUGUGGCA